This 492-nucleotide ribosomal RNA is filed under the name uncultured bacterium. Its description in RNAcentral is "partial 16S ribosomal RNA". It matches the Rfam family "Bacterial small subunit ribosomal RNA", at positions 29 to 507 of the family's 1533-position model. The record is from RNAcentral.
AGUGAACGCUGGCGGUAGGCCUAAUACAUGCAAGUCGAACGGCAGCACAGUAAGAGCUUGCUCUUACGGGUGGCGAGUGGCGGACGGGUGAGGAAUACAUCGGAAUCUACUUUUUCGUGGGGGAUAACGUAGGGAAACUUACGCUAAUACCGCAUACGACCUACGGGUGAAAGCAGGGGAUCUUCGGACCUUGCGCGAUUGAAUGAGCCGAUUUCGGAUUAGCUAGUUGGCGGGGUAAAGGCCAACCAAGGCGACGAUCCGUAGCUGGUCUGAGAGGAUGAUCAGCCACCCUGGAACUGGGACACGGUCCAGACUCCUACGGGAGGCAGCAGUGGGGAAUAUUGGACAAUGGGCGCAAGCCUGAUCCAGCCAUACCGCGUGGGUGAAGAAGGCCUUCGGGUUGUAAAGCCCUUUUGUUGGGAAAGAAAAGCAGCAGGUUAAUACCCCGCUGUUCUGACGGUACCCAAAGAAUAAGCACCGGCUAACUUCGUG